GACGAACGCUGGCGGCGUGCUUAACACAUGCAAGUCGAACGGUGAAGCGCCUUCCUUUUUGGUGGGUGUGGAUGAGUGGCGAACGGGUGAGUAACACGUGAGUAACCUGCCCCCUUCUUCUGGAUAACCGCAUGAAAGUGUGGCUAAUACGGGAUAUUCUGGGUCUGUCGCAUGAUGGGUCUGGGAAAGAUAUUGUUUCGGUGGGGGAUGGGCUCGCGGCCUUUCAGCUUGUUGGUGGGGUGAUGGCCUACCAAGGCGGUGACGGGUAGCCGGCCUGAGAGGGUGGACGGUCACACGGGGACUGAGACACGGCCCAGACUCCUACGGGAGGCAGCAGUGGGGAAUAUUGCACAAUGGGCGCAAGCCUGAUGCAGCGACGCCGCGUGAGGGAUGGAGGCCUUCGGGUUGUGAACCUCUUUCGCCAGUGAAGCAGGCCUGCCUCGUUUGUGGGUGGGUUGACGGUAGCUGGAUAAGAAGCGCCGGCUAACUACGUG
RNAcentral lists this ribosomal RNA (494 nucleotides) under uncultured bacterium. Its description in RNAcentral is "partial 16S ribosomal RNA". It matches the Rfam family "Bacterial small subunit ribosomal RNA", at positions 28 to 507 of the family's 1533-position model. The record is from RNAcentral.